UGACAACCCUAGCUAACUCUCAAUGCUUAACAUAUUUAUGAUAUUUCUCUCCUCUGCUACUUCUAGUUACUCCAUUUUUGCUUACUUUGUAGAAGUUGUUUGACAAUAUUGCUGACAUUUAAGUAUUCUUGUAUAUUUCUUUAUAUUGCCUAGUUUCUGGGAGGUGCAAGGCACUGAGUGACUCAUUGGGACCUGCUGAGUCAUUA
Molecule: long non-coding RNA, 206 nt
Filed under: Homo sapiens (human)
Lineage: Eukaryota; Metazoa; Chordata; Mammalia; Primates; Hominidae
Description: non-protein coding lnc-RTTN-2:1
Source: RNAcentral